Ipomoea triloba (trilobed morning glory) is the source of this 3646-nucleotide RNA transcript. It is a transcript of the gene named probable alpha,alpha-trehalose-phosphate synthase [UDP-forming] 9, with no coding region annotated. The transcript has 5 exons. NCBI's taxonomy places the organism in Eukaryota, Viridiplantae, Streptophyta, Magnoliopsida, Solanales, Convolvulaceae. The record is from RefSeq and is a predicted model, not a curated record.
CCUUACUUUCGCUGCGCUUCUCUCUUCCCUCACCCCCCACACUCUCUCUCUCUAGAAAAAACUAUUUCCUUCUCAUCCCUUCCCUCGUUCUGAUCUCUUCCGCUCACUUUCUCUUUAUUUUCCUUCCGUUGAAACCCCUCCGUCUCUCUCUCUCUCUCUCUGUAACCUCCACCGCUUUCUAUCGGUGCUUGACGUUAGCAGCGUUUUCCGGUAGCAGUCUCGCCGGAGUUCUUACGUUGGUGGGCAUGUUAAUAUCAUAACAAGCGGGACUUACAAUUCAACCACAGUUUUCUAUAAGUUAUAAGCAUCUGUAUUGAUUAAAUACAGGAAGUUUAUUUACAAGAGAUGGCGUCAAUAUCUUCUGCAAACCUUUUGGACAUGGCUUCUGAAGAGAUUUUAGAUAUUCUGCAAACUCCUAGAGUUCUUCCUCGGCUGAUGACUGUUCCUGGAAUCAUCUCUGAUGGAAGCAAUGAUGGUGAUUCAGAUGGUACCUCAUCCAUUUGUCGAGAUCGUAAAAUUGUUGUUUCUAAUAUGCUUCCUUUGCAUGCUCAAAGGGAUAAAGGAACUUCAAAAUGGUGCUUUAGUUUGGACAAGGACUCACUUCUUUUACAAUUGAAGGAUGGGUUUUCUCCUGAAACCGAGGUCAUCUAUGUGGGUUGCCUCAAGGCUGAUAUAGAACCCAGCGAGCAAGAGGAAGUUGCACAGAGACUGCUGGACGACUUCAAGUGUGUGCCUACUUUUCUACCCCCAGAUGUCCAGAAAAAAUUUUAUUAUGGUUUCUGUAAGCAAUAUCUGUGGCCUCUUUUCCACUACAUGCUACCAAUGUGCCCAGACCACGGGGAUAGAUAUGAUCGUCAACUGUGGCAGGCUUAUGUAUCUGCUAACAAAUUAUUUGCUGACAAGGUAAUGGAAGUGGUGAAUCCUGAGGAUGACUACAUCUGGGUUCAUGAUUAUCACCUCAUGGUUCUCCCAACUUUUCUGAGGAAGCGAUACCACCGUGUCAAACUUGGGUUCUUUCUCCAUAGCCCAUUUCCUUCUUCGGAAAUAUACCGGACUUUGCCAGUCCGGGAUGAAAUUCUAAAAGGAUUGCUGAACUGUGAUCUGAUUGGAUUUCAUACUUUUGAUUAUGCACGCCAUUUUCUGUCAUGCUGCAGUAGGAUGUUAGGCCUGGACUAUGAAUCUAAACGUGGUCAUAUUGGACUUGAUUACUUUGGCCGUACCGUUUAUAUAAAAAUUUUGCCUGUAGGUAUUCAUAUGGGCAGACUGGAAUCUGUGUUGAAUCAGCCCUCUACAUUUGAUAAGGUCAAAGAAAUUCAAGAACAAUUUAAGGGGAAAAAGGUUAUUCUUGGUGUUGAUGAUAUGGACAUAUUUAAAGGUAUCAGUCUGAAAUUGCUAGCUUUUGAACAGCUAUUGCAACAGCAUCAGGACUUGCAAGGGAAGCUUGUUCUUGUCCAAAUAGUGAAUCCUGCUCGGAGCUCUGGGAAAGAUGUUCAGGAAGCAAAAAGGGAAACAUAUUCAACUGCUAAAAGAAUCAAUGAACUUUAUGGUCACCCUAGCUAUGAGCCUGUGAUUUUGAUUGAUCAUCCUGCUGCUCGCUAUGAGAAGACUGCUUAUUAUGCUGUGGCAGAAUGUUGCAUAGUCAAUGCAGUCAGGGAUGGGAUGAAUUUGGUACCUUAUAAGUACAUCGUCUGUAGGCAGGGCUCUCCUGGUAUGGAUGAGGCAAUGGGUAUAAAGGCUGGUUCUCCUCGAACUAGCAUGCUUGUUGUCUCUGAGUUCAUUGGUUGUUCACCAUCUCUGAGUGGAGCAAUUAGAGUGAAUCCAUGGGACAUUGAAGCUGUAGCUGAGGCUCUAAAUGUGGCCAUUACCAUGUCUGAUUCUGAAAAGCAAUUGAGACAUGAAAAACACUACCGCUAUGUUAGCUCUCAUGAUGUUGCUUAUUGGGCUCGCAGCUUUAUGCAGGAUUUGGAGAGAGCAUGCAAGGAUCAUUAUAGUAAGCGAUGCUGGGGCAUUGGGUUGGGCCUCGGUUUCAGAGUUAUUUCACUUUCUCCAAGUUUUAGAAAGUUAUCCAAUGAUCACAUUGUGUCAUCAUACAAAAGGACAAAUAGAAGGGCAAUAUUCUUGGACUAUGAUGGUACGAUUGUACCUCAAUCAUCUAUAGUUAAAUCUCCUAGUGCUGAAGUCAUUCAUUUCUUGAAUGCUCUCUCCAAUGAUCCCAAGAAUACAGUCUUUAUUGUUAGCGGCCGAGGUAGAAGUUCCUUGUGUGAAUGGCUUGAACCAUGCGAGAGGCUUGGGCUGGCUGCUGAACAUGGUUAUUUCAUAAGAUGGAAUAAAAGCUCAGAUUGGGAAUGCAUGACUGCUGAUACUGAGUGGAAACAAAUUGUUGAACCUGUAAUGAAACAAUACACUGAUGCAACUGAUGGCUCCUCAAUAGAAACUAAAGAGAGUGCCUUGGUUUGGCACCACCAGGAUGCAGACCCUGACUUUGGCUCCUGCCAGGCAAAGGAAUUGCUUGAUCACUUGGAAAAUGUUCUUGCAAAUGAACCAGCAGUUGUGAAGAGAGGCCAGCAAAUUGUUGAAGUCAAGCCACAAGGAGUGACCAAAGGGUUGGCUGCAGAGAAGGUUCUUUUAAUGAUGGUUAAUGGGGGGAGGCCACCAGAUUUUGUGAUGUGUAUUGGAGAUGAUAGAUCAGAUGAAGACAUGUUUGAGGGCAUUAUAAAAAUGGUUUCUGGCUUGUCCAUUUCUACAGCCCCAGAAAUGUUUGCAUGCACCGUUGGUCGAAAACCGAGCAGAGCAAGAUAUUACCUUGAUGAUACUGCUGAUGUUGUGAGGUUGCUUCAAGGCCUAGCCACUGCAUCAAAUCCAAAGCCAAGACAGAUUGCCGAAUUCCAAGUUGCUUUCGACACAGUAAUAUGACAGAGCGCAAAUAGGGUUUUGUGCCACCUGUACAUUGUUCUGCAUUCAGUGUUCUCUCCCUUCUGAUCAAUGAGGUAUAAGUUCCAUAAUCAAUUUAACAUGAAUUUGGUAAACAGCUUGACUCAAGCAUAUACUCUGCUUUCCAAGCCAUGCUGUUGGUGGGUUACAAUUAGUUUUUCGCAGCCAUUCCAAACAGCUGCGUUGAAUGAUCAAGAAGCGCCAUUGGCUUGUAUAGGUACUAUUAACUUUCUAAGUAUAAUGUAAGUUUGGUUUUUCACCUUGCGGGACUUAUUUAUUCUAACUUUAGAGCAGCAGGCUAAUUUAGCCAUAGAUUAUUUUCAGUAAAAGAGUGAUGCAAUGAAAGGGGUUUGGUCAAUAGUUAUAGUACAGAUCUUGAGUCCAAAAUUGUGUGGUGGACAUGGCAGGGUGUGGGGCUGGCAUUUUAAGUGUGAGAUUCUGCUAAAUGAGUACUCUAGCUUCAAAGCUUUAAAGUGCUUCAAUAUUUGCAAUUUUUGUAUACCCAUGUGAAUAUUGAUGGAGUUUGGAGUUUAAUUAUGUUACGCUAACAUUGUACUAAACCUUGUGAAUGCCACAAAGCAGCUUCGGAUUUUUCUUUUAGAUAAGAAAAAUUUGUAGUCACUACUUGACUUGCAAACCGCAUAGGAUAGGUGGAUAUGUAAAUUGUAUUAGGAUGAUUUUGUGCAAUAGGUUUAAUUAGAUUUGUUACAUUUAA